RNAcentral lists this ribosomal RNA (497 nucleotides) under uncultured bacterium. Its description in RNAcentral is "partial 16S ribosomal RNA". It matches the Rfam family "Bacterial small subunit ribosomal RNA", at positions 28 to 507 of the family's 1533-position model. The record is from RNAcentral.
GACGAACGCUGGCGGCGUGCCUAAUACAUGCAAGUAGAACGCUGAAGAGAGGAGCUUGCUCUUCUUGGCUGAGUUGCGAACGGGUGAGUAACGCGUAGGUAACCUGCCUGGUAGCGGGGGAUAACUAUUGGAAACGAUAGCUAAUACCGCAUAAAAUUGAUUAUUGCAUGAUAAUUAAUUGAAAGAUGCAACUGCAUCACUACCAGAUGGACCUGCGUUGUAUUAGCUAGUUGGUGAGGUAACGGCUCACCAAGGCGACGAUACAUAGCCGACCUGAGAGGGUGAUCGGCCACACUGGGACUGAGACACGGCCCAGACUCCUACGGGAGGCAGCAGUAGGGAAUCUUCGGCAAUGGGGGGAAUCCUGACCGAGCAACGCCGCGUGAGUGAAGAAGGUUUUCGGAUCGUAAAGCUCUGUUGUAAGAGAAGAACGGGUGUGAGAGUGGAAAGUUCACACUGUGACGGUAGCUUACCAGAAAGGGACGGCUAACUACGUG